GAGCGCCCCGCAAGGGGAGCGGCAGACGGGAUACGUAACACGUGGGAACGUACCCUUCAGUUCGGAACAACCCAGGGAAACUUGGGCUAAUACCGGAUACGUCCGUAAGGAGAAAGAUUUAUCGCUGAGGGAUCGGCCCGCGUCUGAUUAGCUUGUUGGUGAGGUAACGGCUCACCAAGGCGACGAUCAGUAGCUGGUCUGAGAGGAUGAUCAGCCUCACUGGGACUGAGACACGGCCCAGACUCCUACGGGAGGCAGCAGUGGGGAAUAUUGGACAAUGGGCGCAAGCCUGAUCCAGCCAUGCCGCGUGGGUGAUGAAGGCCCUAGGGUUGUAAAGCCCUUUCGGCGGGGAAGAUAAUGACGGUACCCGCAGAAGAAGCCCCGGCUAACUUCGUG
Molecule: ribosomal RNA, 396 nt
Filed under: uncultured bacterium
Lineage: Bacteria
Description: bacterial SSU rRNA
Rfam family: Bacterial small subunit ribosomal RNA
Source: RNAcentral